CUCAUCAUUUAAACUGGACUUCCCUGAUCUAUCUCAGCUCAGAANCUAAGCAGGGGUAGUUCUGGUUAGUACUUCGAUGGGGGACUACAGAGUGCCAGAUACUGUAGAUU
RNAcentral lists this ribosomal RNA (110 nucleotides) under Salvator merianae (Argentine black and white tegu). Lineage: Eukaryota; Metazoa; Chordata; Lepidosauria; Squamata; Teiidae. The record is from RNAcentral.